UGUCUGCACACUAUAGUGAUUGGUCGUAUCACUCACAGGAGGCGGGAGAUGAGUCAACGAAAUCAAAACAAAUGCACAUUUUCAAGAAAUCUGUUGCCAAAGUCUGGCUAAACGCUAAAAACACGAGUUUUUACACAUACACAGUGUAUGUUUAGUUCUGAAGAAGGCUAAACAGCGUCUUUUAGCUUUAGCUUUUAGCUAAGCUAGCGCGCAGCAUGCUAAACCGUUUAGCUACAACUGCUUUGGGACAGUUGUGCUUCUGUAAAGUUGCUGGGUGGCACCGCGAACCGACGCCGAACUUCAGAACACUGGACCGAGGAUCACACAGGGCCCACGUGGACCCGGAAGGCGAACUGCGCGUUAUUAAACCAAGUGGGGCCGCACAGGACGUUUGUUUCCCGGCUAUUGCUUCCGUCGCCAUUGAAACCUUAAGAAAUGUCCGUGAUGGAAGUCAUGAGCUCCACUUAACCUCCUGGCCUAGAAUGAAAUCAGUGAGCUAGACAUAAAGCGACACUAGACCUUAGUGUAACUGUCCUGAAGCACAUUUCAGCAUCAGUAGAUCGAACACUGGUGACCUUGCUGUUGGUCAUUAUCUGUUACAGAUAAUCUGCUGCUCAAUGCCUACAGUCAUUCAGCCUAAACUGAUGCCUCAAUAACAACCUACCUGUGUGUGUGUGUGCGUGCGUGCGUGCGUGCGUGUGGACCCCCCUGGUCUUGAUAGCAGAGGGGCAGAUCAGAUGGAGAGGUCCUUCUGGCGUCAAAGGCUUUGCAUAUGUAGGCAUCCAGUGGCUAUUUCGAAGCUGUGGGUUAGUCGCCACACCAUGACGCUCUGGCAUGGUGCGCUUCUCAUUAUGUUAAUUAUGUAAAUAGUUAUGUAAAUAAAAUAAAUAUGCAAAUAUACA
This 902-nucleotide long non-coding RNA is filed under the name Betta splendens (Siamese fighting fish). RNAcentral describes it as "lncRNA (ENSBSLG00000008383.1)". Lineage: Eukaryota; Metazoa; Chordata; Actinopteri; Anabantiformes; Osphronemidae. The record is from RNAcentral.